Molecule: ribosomal RNA, 1234 nt
Filed under: Listeria monocytogenes
Lineage: Bacteria; Bacillati; Bacillota; Bacilli; Caryophanales; Listeriaceae
Description: bacterial LSU rRNA
Rfam family: Bacterial large subunit ribosomal RNA
Source: RNAcentral
AAACAGCCCAGACCACCAGUUAAGGUCCCCAAAUAUAUGGUAAGUGGAAAAGGAAGUGGGGUGGCUUAGACAACCAGGAUGUUGGCUUAGAAGCAGCCCCCAUUGAAAGAGUGCGUAAUAGCUCACUGGUCGAGUGACCCCGCGCCGAAAAUGUACCGGGGCUAAACAUAUUACCGAAACUGUGGAUGAACCUCUUUAGAGGUUCGUGGUAGGAGAGCGUUCUAAGGGCGGUGAAGUCAGACCGGAAGGACUGGUGGAGCGCUUAGAAGUGAGAAUGCCGGUAUGAGUAGCGAAAGAAGGGUGAGAAUCCCUUCCACCGAAUAUCUAAGGUUUCCUGAGGAAGGCUCGUCCGCUCAGGGUUAGUCGGGACCUAAGCCGAGGCCGAUAGGCGUAGGCGAUGGACAACAGGUAGAGAUUCCUGUACCAGUGCUAAUUGUUUAACCGAUGGGGUGACACAGAAGGAUAGGGAAUCGCACGAAUGGAAAUGUGCGUCCAAGCAGUGAGUGUGAGAAGUAGACAAAUCCGCUUCUCGCGAAGCAUGAGCUGUGAUGGGGAAGGAAAUUAAGUACGGAAGUUCCUGAUUUCACGCUGUCAAGAAAAGCCUCUAGGAAGAGUAGUACUGCCCGUACCGCAAACCGACACAGGUAGAUGAGGAGAGAAUCCUAAGGUGAGCGAGAGAACUCUCGUUAAGGAACUCGGCAAAAUGACCCCGUAACUUCGGGAGAAGGGGUGCUCUAUUAGGGUGCAAGCCCGAGAGAGCCGCAGUGAAUAGGCCCAGGCGACUGUUUAGCAAAAACACAGGUCUCUGCAAAACCGUAAGGUGACGUAUAGGGGCUGACGCCUGCCCGGUGCUGGAAGGUUAAGAGGAGUGCUUAGCUUCGGCGAAGGUACGAAUUGAAGCCCCAGUAAACGGCGGCCGUAACUAUAACGGUCCUAAGGUAGCGAAAUUCCUUGUCGGGUAAGUUCCGACCCGCACGAAAGGCGCAACGAUCUGGGCACUGUCUCAACGAGAGACUCGGUGAAAUUAUAGUACCUGUGAAGAUGCAGGUUACCCGGGGAAGGAGGGAAAGACCCGGGGGCGCUUUACUGCACCCUGAAAUGGAAUGUUUGUACCGCUUGUACAGGAUAGGUGGGGGCCGAAGAGACGUGUGCGCUAGCAUCCGAGGAGGCAAUGGUGGGAUACUACCCGGGCUGUAUGACCAUUCUAACCCGCCACGCUUAGCGCGUGGGGAGA